RNAcentral lists this transfer RNA (25 nucleotides) under Librevillea klainei. Its description in RNAcentral is "partial tRNA-His". The record is from RNAcentral. Lineage: Eukaryota; Viridiplantae; Streptophyta; Magnoliopsida; Fabales; Fabaceae.
CCAAGUGGAUCAAGGCAGUGGAUUU